UGGCGGCAGGCCUAACACAUGCAAGUCGAGCGGAUGAAGAGAGCUUGCUCUCUGAUUCAGCGGCGGACGGGUGAGUAAUGCCUAGGAAUCUGCCUGGUAGUGGGGGACAACGUUUCGAAAGGAACGCUAAUACCGCAUACGUCCUACGGGAGAAAGCAGGGGACCUUCGGGCCUUGCGCUAUCAGAUGAGCCUAGGUCGGAUUAGCUAGUUGGUGGGGUAAUGGCUCACCAAGGCGACGAUCCGUAACUGGUCUGAGAGGAUGAUCAGUCACACUGGAACUGAGACACGGUCCAGACUCCUACGGGAGGCAGCAGUGGGGAAUAUUGGACAAUGGGCGAAAGCCUGAUCCAGCCAUGCCGCGUGUGUGAAGAAGGUCUUCGGAUUGUAAAGCACUUUAAGUUGGGAGGAAGGGUUGUAGAUUAAUACUCUGCAAUUUUGACGUUACCGACAGAAUAAGCACCGGCUAACUCUGUGCCACCAGCCGCGGUAAUACAGAGGGUGCAAGCGUUAAUCGGAAUUACUGGGCGUAAAGCGCGCGUAGGUGGUUUGUUAAGUUGGAUGUGAAAGCCCCGGGCUCA
This 579-nucleotide ribosomal RNA is filed under the name Pseudomonas sp. EA_S_9. Its description in RNAcentral is "bacterial SSU rRNA". It matches the Rfam family "Bacterial small subunit ribosomal RNA", at positions 37 to 611 of the family's 1533-position model. Lineage: Bacteria; Pseudomonadati; Pseudomonadota; Gammaproteobacteria; Pseudomonadales; Pseudomonadaceae. The record is from RNAcentral.